UAAGGAAUAUUGGACAAUGCCCGCAAGGGUGAUCCAGCCAUGCCGCGUGCAGGAAGACGGCCCUAUGGGUUGUAAACUGCUUUUACACCGGAGAAAACCCCCCUACGUGUAGGGGGCUGAUAGUAUGGUGAGAAUAAGCAUCGGCUAACUUCGUGCCAGCAGCCGCGGUAAGACGAAGGAUGCAAGCGUUAUCCGGAUUCAUUGGGUUUAAAGGGAGCGUAGGUGGCCUUAUAAGUCAGUGGUGAAAUCUUCGAGCUUAACUCGGAAAUUGCCAUUGAUACUGUAGGGCUUGAGUACAGUUGCUGUGGGCGGAAUAUGACAUGUAGUGGUGAAAUACAUAGAGAUGUCAUAGAACACCGAUUGCGAAGGCAGCUCACAAAGCUGUAACUGACACUGAGGCUCGAAAGUGCGGGGAUCAAACAGG
This 424-nucleotide ribosomal RNA is filed under the name uncultured bacterium. RNAcentral's name for it is "bacterial SSU rRNA". It matches the Rfam family "Bacterial small subunit ribosomal RNA", at positions 355 to 776 of the family's 1533-position model. The record is from RNAcentral.